UCUUUUUAAAGGCAGUGCUUUAAGGCCUGACUUUUAAGUCAUGAGGUUCAUCUUUUCAUACGCAAUCCAUGCUGGGGGUCUUUUGGCCAGAAAUAGAUCCGGAAAUGUUCGAAUUUCUCCUCUUCUUUUUAUGGUAUGAUAUGGUUUUUGUUUCUUUCAUUUACAUUGGGGACUAAAGAAACGAUCAGUGUGUAUUGUUCGUUUUAUAGAACUUGUUAUAAGUGUGUAUUUUGCAUUAUAAGCAGUCAACCUGACUACAAACUAUCAAUAGUUGUAUAUUCCGUGUGGAAAGAGGUCGGGUCAAUUUCAAGUGUUAUCUGACAUCUAAAGAUUCUUUAAUUAGUUCAGACGUUGAUAUAACAAUGAAAAGUCGACUGAACAUGAUUAAUAUUGCAUCUUCUAUAAUUCAAAGCGGAAUUCGGUUUAUGAACGAGAAACCGUAAAGCGUUUUCAAUUUCGGUAUUAGUUAUGUAUGUUAUCUACGUAUUAUCCUGGUUCCCGGUACUACGUUCCGGGUAUUAGCUAUUUGAUAUAUUUGAUGUGUAACAUUACAAUCGGGUACCAGCCAAUCUACGUGUGUAUGUGUACAUGAUUUACCGCCAAAAUGACCGACUUAAAAAAUAGUCCAUAAACGUUCCGUAUAAUGAUAUGCAAAUUCAUAAUUAAUCGUAACUUUUUUUUAUCUUUGUAUAAUUAAUAUAACAAAAUGGAUUCCACAAAAUUGAAAAUAGCAUUAUUUUACGAGGAUUUCUCAUAUUUUUUUCACUUCCGGCGCAGUAAUACGUAUGUUUUGAAGAAGCUCGAAGAAUUUGACAAAGUGAAUUGAGAAGGAAACGGAUAGAUAUACGUUCUUGCUAUCAGGUAAAACAAUUUAAAUGUACAGAACAAACACAUUUACUUCACACAAAUAGUACAGGCUUAAGCUUUUUAUUGUCUAGCUUAUACACGACUGUAGUCAAGUGUUUAAACGACGGCGGUGACCUACAAGGUACGGGUCAUACUGGGUCAAGUCUAAAUAUGUAAACACAUAUCCACGUGCUAUUAGGAAGAACGCAUCGUAAUGCAAUAUCUACAAUUUUUCCUCCUUUAUACAUCGUUUAACCAGAUAUAUUUCUCCUUUUUACAUCGUUUAACCAGAUUUAUUUCUCUUUCAAAUACACUUAAACACGGGUUGUAUGUACGUAUCUUUUCUAGUGUUUUCUUGUUGUUAUUAAAGUUCAUUUGUUGAUGUUUAGAAAUUUUUGAACGACUGAACACAGGAGUGAAUGAAUGCAACAAUUAUAUAUACUGAAGACUUGGGCUGUACAAUGAUAGUGGCACAAACCCACUUUAAAGAGACUUGUCUACUGCCAUACCCAUCCUAUUUUCAUGCACCAUUUGCAAGCAAGAGACUGAAUGGUUUGCAAAAUUAAAAAUCAGGACGGUGUCCAAUUAAAACAAAAGAACUAAACUGGAUGAAUAUUUUAGGAGAUAUCUAGACAUGCUAGAGGAAAGUUUUGAUUUGUGAAAUUGGUUUUCCUGAAAAGUCAUUCAUCCUAGCCUGCAGAAAGGAACUAUAACUGUCCACCACCAACUGACGAGCUAAUGUUGAGCUUCACAUAUGGAAUUACUCAAAUACCAUCAAUGUCUAUGUUUUCAGCACAAAUUUCACAAUUUAUGACACAGCUGUGCUUUUUUUUAUACCGUUAAAGAGUUGUAUACCAAAUUUUAUUUUUUUAUCAAUAAAUAUAUAUUAUAUUAA
Long non-coding RNA from Mytilus trossulus (common blue mussel), 1741 nucleotides. RefSeq lists it as uncharacterized. The record is from RefSeq and is a predicted model, not a curated record. The transcript has 2 exons. NCBI's taxonomy places the organism in Eukaryota, Metazoa, Mollusca, Bivalvia, Mytilida, Mytilidae.